RNAcentral lists this long non-coding RNA (2773 nucleotides) under Mytilus galloprovincialis (Mediterranean mussel). The record is from RNAcentral. Lineage: Eukaryota; Metazoa; Mollusca; Bivalvia; Mytilida; Mytilidae.
UAAACAAAAUGGACGGACAGUUGAUAUACAAAUACUUAAAUUCUAAGUACGUAUUCCAAUAUAACUAAGUUAUUUCGAUGGGAAAAUAUGUCCGUUUCUAUAUUUAUUUUACAUUAGACAUGUUAGAGGGAAAGGAAUAACGUGAUUUUACAAUGUUUUCAAGUCAUGAAUAGAAUCCAAAAUUUAGUUAGUUUUUUGGUUAUGAAGUUGUUUGUUAUCGACUUCGAAUGUCCCUUUGGUAUAAUCCAUUCUGUUUGUAUAACUUGUUCUAAUGUUCUAACACUGUAGCACUUACACCACUUUUCCAAAACUUGGAAGUGUUAAGUGCUCAUAAAUAUAUUCAACCUAACGUCAUUUUGUUUUUAAUUGUUUUGUAUGUACAAGGAUCAUGUCUGGUGGUUUUCUAUUGUUGAUGUCCGUUACAAUUGUUUAGUCUUACAUCUAUAAUACCAUCAUAUAUUGUUUACUUUUACCUAUUGACUGCGUAUGGAUUCGCAUGGCGGUGAAGCCUACACAUCAAGAGACGCUUACCCUGUCGAUUCAGUCCAUCUCGCUCCUAUUAGAUUUCAUGAGAUUCCCUCAGUCUUUGUUUUUAGCUUAAUUUGUGCCUUCCUAAUCGAUUAAUGAGGAUUGAACAUCGGCAAAGUACUGUUGCAUAAAUCUAUGUAUCAGAAUACUUAAUUUUGUAUUUGUAGGUAAAAUAAUGUCUAAGCCUGGAAAAUUCUGCACAUCUUGUCGGUUGGCUCACAAUGAAUCAAAUCCUACUACAAACUGGUGCCCAUCCUGUCAGGAAUCGUUGUGCAGUAAAUGCAGUGGAUGUCACAAAGUACAAACAUCAACAAAAAGUCACCAACUUAAUUCAAUCGAGGAUGUCAAGAUGUUACCGUCGGUCGCUUUGUCGAUUAAUGUUAUGUGUGAUAAGCAUAAUAUGAAACUUGAUUGUUUUUGCUCAUUUCACAACGAACCUUGUUGUGUCCAAUGCAUAUCAAGAAAUCAUCCUGAUUGCCGUCCUCCAAUAUCUUCACUUGAAAAUAUUGUAAAAAUCUCAAAGCAAUCAUCUACUGUUAAAAAGCUUGAAGACAGUGCAUGUUCUGUUGUUGAAACCCUGGAUAUUUUGAAACAAGAUCAAGAACAAUAUUACGAAAAUGUCAAAAAGCAACGACAACAAUUAGAAUCUGAGGUUAAAGAAUUUCGAAAAAGUAUAAGCAGCUGCCUUGAUCAUCUUGAAAAAAGGCUUAUAGAAAGUAUUGCAAAAUCAUCUGAUCGUUGUAAGAAUGAACUAUCAGAAAAAUACAAUGAACUAGAUGCUUUAACCGUUCAGUGCAAAGGUAUCAGAGAUAAUAUUUCAAAUAUGAAACAAUUUGCAUCUGACUUACAGAUGUUUCUUGGGAAUAUAUCACUACAAAAAAGACUUGAUUCUAUUGGAUCGUCUAUAUCAGGAAUAGGCCAGAAACUAGGAAUGUAUAAAAUACAAUUUACAAGGGACUUAGAUAUCAAGCAUUUCGAGUCGUUUGUGGAAGAGUUUGCCGACACACGCAUUAUAUGUGAGAACCAUUACGAUUCUAAGUUUUCACAAGCUCAAACCUGGACAGCAAAGUCACGUAAAGAUCAACGCGGAAUUAGUGCUAAGGGAGCAAAAAGUGCAUCCAUUAGAGGUGGGGAAGGUAAAUCUCUUGAAACUAAAGAUACUAAACGAGUUAUUAACCCUAAAUCUAGAGUGACCGAAUUCGAAACCACAAGGUUUUCGUCAACGACAAAGCUGACACUACAACAAAAAUUCGUAACUGAAUCAACUGAUUACAUCAAUAUAAAUGGAUGCACCAUUCUUUCUAAUGGGGAGCUUCUAUUCACAGAAUAUGAAAAUAAGUGUCUUGUUGUCUAUCAGAGCGAUGGCGUUAAAUCUCGAACAAUAAAGUUGUUCGAUAACCCAUGGGAUGUAUGUGAGGUUGAGAAUAAAACUGUAGCUUUGAAUUUCCCCGUUCGAAGUACAAUUCAGGUUAUAGAAAUUUCUUCAUCCAAGGGCAAGGUAAUGGAAAGCUUCGAUCUGUAUUUCAGAUGGUAUUUGUUCCGCUAUAACCUUCAACGAUCCAAACUUGUCAAAAUAAUAGAAAUGAAGUUUCAUGACGCUAAAUACAUUACAUUUCAUUCUUCGCGUUUAUUUUAUACCGACUGGAAGAAAAACGAAGUACAAUGUAGUGUGUUGCGAUUUGGAACAACGAAUUUAUUGGAAAUUCAAGAGGUCGGACAUAAAAUGUCCUAGUGGCGUAUGUGUUGACUAUGAAGGCAAUAUCCUUGUUGUCGGAACGUCUUCGGGCAAUAUUCUUAAAAUAAAACGUGAUGGAAAAUCAGCUGAAGAAAUUCUAAGAACCGAAGGCAGUUUUAUUUCUCCAACUGGAAUUUUCAUUGGAAAACAAAAAGAGCUCGUUUUGAUUUGCUUUCAUAAUAAUACCUUUGCCGCAACAUUUAAAUUCUUUAAAACAAAAUAAACUGUUGAAAAAAAUAAAGCUGAGUAACAAUUUAUUUGAUAUCGUCUAAUCGUUUCUGUAGAAAAUAUAUGACUGCUUUAUAUGAUAAAGCAAUCGUUUUCCUUCUUUUUUUUUAGGAAAUAAUGUAUGUCCACUUAAUAUUAUCGAAACAUAUUUAACCCUGCCAUAUUGGAGAUGCGCCUGCACCGAGUUUUGAGUGUGUAGGUCAGUGUUUAUCGUCGGUUCAUGUCUGUCAUAUUUGUAUUUUCGCAAAUGUGAUUGUUAUAAAUUAGACCGUUAGAUUUCUC